This 855-nucleotide ribosomal RNA is filed under the name uncultured archaeon. RNAcentral's name for it is "bacterial SSU rRNA". It matches the Rfam family "Archaeal small subunit ribosomal RNA", at positions 21 to 856 of the family's 1478-position model. The record is from RNAcentral.
ACCCGACUGCUAUCGGAGUGAGACUAAGCCAUGCAAGUCGUGCGCCCCGGGCUGGCGGGGCGCGGCGUACGGCUCAGUAGCACGUGGUCAACCUACCCUGCGGACGGCUAUAACCCCGGGAAACUGGGGCUAAUAGCCGAUAGGGGAUGGGUGCUGGAAGGCCCUGUCCCCGAAAGGCCCAACCACCCAUGCCGUGGUUGGGCGCCGCAGGAUGGGACUGCGCCCUAUCAGGUAGACGGUGGGGUAACGGCCCACCGUGCCUGUAACGGGUGCGGGCCCUGGGAGGGGGAGCCCGGAGAUGGGCACUGAGACAAGGGCCCAGGCCCUACGGGGCGCAGCAGGCGCGAAAACUCCGCUAUGCGCGAAAGCGCGACGGGGUCACUCCGAGUGCCACCCGCUGAGGGUGGCUUUUGCCCAGUCCAAAAGGCUGGGCGAAUAAGGGGAGGGCAAGUUUGGUGUCAGCCGCCGCGGUAAUACCAACUCCCCGAGUGGUCGGGACGGUUAUUGGGCUUAAAGCGUCCGUAGCCGGCCCGGUGUGUCUCUGGUCAAAUCCGGCGUCUCAAGCGCCGGACCGCCGGAGAUACUACCGGGCUAGGGAGCGGGAGAGGCGGGCGGUAUUCCCUGGGUAGGGGUAAAAUCCUAAGAUCCAGGGAGGACCAUCGGUGGCGAAGGCGGCCCGCUAGAACGCGUCCGACGGUGAGGGACGAAAGCUGGGGAGCGAUCCGGAUUAGAUACCCGGGUAGUCCCAGCCGUAAACGAUGCAGGCUAGGUGUGUGGACGCCUUAGGGGCGUCCAUGUGCCGAAGGGAAACCGUUAAGCCUGCCGCCUGGGGAGUACGGCCGCAAGGCUGAAACU